UACGGAAGGCAGCAGUGGGGAAUAUUGCACAAUGGGCGCAAGCCUGAUGCAGCCAUGCCGCGUGUAUGAAGAAGGCCUUCGGGUUGUAAAGUACUUUCAGUCGUGAGGAAGGUGUUAAGGUUAAUAACCUUAGCAAUUGACGUUAGCGACAGAAGAAGCACCGGCUAACUCCGUGCCAGCAGCCGCGGUAAUACGGAGGGUGCGAGCGUUAAUCGGAAUUACUGGGCGUAAAGGGCACGCAGGCGGUUAAUUAAGUUGGAUGUGAAAUCCCCGGGCUUAACCUGGGAAUGGCAUUCAAGACUGGUUAGCUAGAGUCUUGUAGAGGGGGUUAGAAUUCCAUGUGUAGCGGUGAAAUGCGUAGAGAUGUGGAGGAAUACCGGUGGCGAAGGCGGCCCCUGGACAAAGGACUGACGCUCAUGUGCGAAAGCGUGGGGAGCAAAC
This 441-nucleotide ribosomal RNA is filed under the name uncultured bacterium. Its description in RNAcentral is "bacterial SSU rRNA". It matches the Rfam family "Bacterial small subunit ribosomal RNA", at positions 340 to 773 of the family's 1533-position model. The record is from RNAcentral.